CCUGGCUCAGAACGAACGCUGGCGGCAGGCUUAACACAUGCAAGUCGAACGAUCCCUUCGGGGAUAGUGGCAGACGGGUGAGUAACGCGUGGGAACCUACCUUUCGGUACGGGAUAGCUCCGGGAAACUGGAAUUAAUACCGUAUGCGCCCUUUGGGGGAAAGAUUUAUCGCCGAAAGAUGGGCCCGCGUUGGAUUAGCUAGUUGGUGGGGUAAAGGCCUACCAAGGCGACGAUCCAUAGCUGGUCUGAGAGGAUGAUCAGCCACACUGGGACUGAGACACGGCCCAGACUCC
RNAcentral lists this ribosomal RNA (293 nucleotides) under Roseibium sp. RKSG952. RNAcentral describes it as "Bacterial small subunit ribosomal RNA". It matches the Rfam family "Bacterial small subunit ribosomal RNA", at positions 18 to 339 of the family's 1533-position model. The record is from Rfam by way of RNAcentral. Lineage: Bacteria; Pseudomonadati; Pseudomonadota; Alphaproteobacteria; Hyphomicrobiales; Stappiaceae.